AGCAGUGAACACUCUUUCAAGCAAGGCUGAGGCCCAGCUGGACCCAGAAUCUCCUAUCAGCAAGAAGGCAUCUUCUUCAGAUCAUCAGUCUUUUGAUCAGAAGCAUCUACAGCUUCAACAGCACCAGCAACAAAUAGAGAUGGCAAGUGAUACCUCAAGAACAGGAGGACCCUCAGAACUGAAUACAUCCCCUGCCAAACCACCUCAAGAAAAGAGGAAGGGUUCAACA
Molecule: unclassified non-coding RNA, 229 nt
Filed under: Hevea brasiliensis (rubber tree)
Lineage: Eukaryota; Viridiplantae; Streptophyta; Magnoliopsida; Malpighiales; Euphorbiaceae
Source: RNAcentral